Molecule: ribosomal RNA, 496 nt
Filed under: uncultured bacterium
Lineage: Bacteria
Description: partial 16S ribosomal RNA
Rfam family: Bacterial small subunit ribosomal RNA
Source: RNAcentral
AUUGAACGCUGGCGGAAUGCUUUACACAUGCAAGUCGAACGGUAGAGGGGGCAACCCCUCGAGAGUGGCGAACGGGUGAGUAAUAUAUCGGAACGUGCCCAGUCGUGGGGGAUAACGUAGCGAAAGUUACGCUAAUACCGCAUACGAUCUAAGGAUGAAAGCGGGGGAUAGCAAGACCUCGCGCGAUUGGAGCGGCCGAUAUCAGAUUGUGUAGUUGGUGGGGUAAAGGCUAACCAAGCCAACGAUCUGUAGCUGGUCUGAGAGGACGACCAGCCACACUGGAAAUGAGACACGGUCCAGACUCCUACGGGAGGCAGCAGUGGGGAAUUUUGGACAAUGGACGCAAGUCUGAUCCAGCCAUUCCGCGUGCAGGAUGAAGGCCCUCGGGUUGUAAACUGCUUUUGUACGGAACGAAAAGGUCUCUCUUAAUACGGUGGACUCAUGACGGUACCGUAAGAAUAAGCACCGGCUAACUACGUGCCAGCAGCCGCCGUAA